AUACGGAGGGUGCAAGCGUUGUCCGGAUUUAUUGGGUUUAAAGGGUGCGUAGGCGGUACGUUAAGUCAGUGGUGAAAUCCCUCAGCUCAACUGAGGAACUGCCAUUGAUACUGGCGUACUUGAGUACAGACGAGGUAGGCGGAAUUUAUGGUGUAGCGGUGAAAUGCAUAGAUACCAUAAAGAACACCGAUAGCGAAGGCAGCUUACUAGACUGUAACUGACGCUCAGGCACGAAAGCGUGGGGAGCGAACAGGAUUAGAAACCCGAGUAGUCC
RNAcentral lists this ribosomal RNA (274 nucleotides) under uncultured bacterium. RNAcentral describes it as "partial 16S ribosomal RNA". It matches the Rfam family "Bacterial small subunit ribosomal RNA", at positions 523 to 796 of the family's 1533-position model. The record is from RNAcentral.